This 54-nucleotide transfer RNA is filed under the name Sphaerulina musiva SO2202. It matches the Rfam family "tRNA", at positions 1 to 53 of the family's 71-position model. Rfam says of the family: Transfer RNA (tRNA) molecules are approximately 80 nucleotides in length. Their secondary structure includes four short double-helical elements and three loops (D, anti-codon, and T loops). Lineage: Eukaryota; Fungi; Ascomycota; Dothideomycetes; Mycosphaerellales; Mycosphaerellaceae. The record is from Rfam by way of RNAcentral.
GCCCCUAUAGCUCAGUGGUAGAGCGCGCCACUCGUAAUGGCGAGGUCAGGUGUG